RNAcentral lists this small nuclear RNA (96 nucleotides) under Vulpes vulpes (red fox). The record is from RNAcentral. Lineage: Eukaryota; Metazoa; Chordata; Mammalia; Carnivora; Canidae.
CUUCUAACAAGCACAUAUACUAAAAUUGCAGUAAUAUUGAGAUGAGCAUGGCCUCUGCACAAGGAUGAUGCAAUUCAUGAAGCAUUCCAUAUUAAA